AUGUGCGGGAUCUUCGCCUACCUCAACUACUGUGCGCCGCGGGAUCGACGGUAUGUCCUCGAGGUCCUCCUCAACGGCCUCCGCCGCCUCGAGUACCGCGGCUACGACUCCUCCGGCAUAGCCCUCGACGCGGACCUCCCGCCGCCUGGUUCCGCGGCGGCGUACGCGGGGGCGCCGCCACUCGUGUUCCGCCAGGAGGGAAAGAUCGAUAACCUCGUGCGAUCCGUCUACUCCGAGGUUGAUGAGAAGGGUGUGAACCUGGAUGCCACAUUUUCCGUUCACGCCGGAAUCGCUCACACCAGGUGGGCUACACAUGGCGUGCCUGCCCCAAAGAACAGCCACCCCCAAUCCUCUGGCACCGGUGAUGAGUUCUUGGUCGUCCACAACGGAAUUAUCACAAACUAUGAGAUUCUGAAAGAGACACUGAUUCGACACGGGUUCACCUUUGAGUCUGAUACCGACACAGAAGUCAUCCCUAAGCUAGCGAAGUUUGUUUUUGACCAGGCUUGUGAUGGAGAAGGUGAUAUGACAUUUAGCCAAGUUGUUAUGGAAGUCAUGAGGCAGCUUGAAGGAGCCUAUGCACUUAUCUUUAAAAGUCCACACUAUCCCAAUGAGCUGAUUGCAUGCAAACGAGGCAGCACGCUGAUACUUGGUGUCAAUGAAGUAAGUGAUCAAAACAGCGCGAAGUCAUUUCAGAAUGUCAAAUCCCUGACAACAAAUGGAAGCCCCAGGGAGUUCUUCUUCUCCAGUGAUUUAUGUGCUAUUGUAGAGCACACCAAGAAUUAUUUGGCUAUUGAAGACAAUGAAAUUAUUCAUAUAAAGGAUGGUAGUGUGUCUAUCCUUAAGUUUGACAAGGAAAAAGAGAAGCCAGCAUCUCUGCAACGAGCAUUGUCUGUUCUGGAGAUGGAAGUCGAGCAAAUAAAGAAAGGAAGCUAUGACCACUUCAUGCAAAAAGAAAUCCAUGAACAGCCACAUUCACUGACAACAACCAUGAGAGGUAGACUGAAGGAUAGUGGAGUUGUUUUAGGCGGACUAAAGGAACACCUCAAAACACUUAGACGCAGUAGAAGAGUAAUCUUUAUUGGCUGUGGUACUAGCUAUAAUGCUGCCUUAGCUGCACGACCUUUUGUGGAAGAACUCACCGGUAUUCCUGUGACUAUGGAGGUUGCAAGUGACUUGCUGGACAGACAAGGCCCCAUCUACAGAGAGGACACUGCAGUUUUUGUGAGCCAGUCAGGGGAGACAGCAGACACCCUCCUUGCUCUUGAGUAUGCACUAGAAAAGGGAGCACUUUGUGUUGGCGUUACAAAUACAGUGGGGAGCACGCUGUCAAGAAAAACACAUUGUGGAAUUCAUAUCAAUGCUGGUUGUGAGAUUGGUGUUGCCAGCACCAAGGCUUAUACAAGUCAAAUAGUAGUCAUGGCGAUGAUAGCCUUGGCUAUUGGAUCUGAUCAGUUAUCCACUCAACCUAGAAGGGAGUCUAUAAUCACUGGUCUUUCAAGCCUUCCAAGUACGACAAAUUGGAUCAACAACCUACCAUGCCAUGUCAGUGAAGUUCUCAAGCUUGAUGCUGAAAUGAAGGAACUCGCAUCUUCACUAAUCGACUCGGAGUCACUCCUUGUGUUUGGAAGAGGUUAUAACUAUGCCACUGCCUUGGAGGGUGCUCUCAAAGUUAAGGAGGUCGCGCUGAUGCACAGCGAAGGCAUGCUUGCUGGCGAGAUGAAGCACGGGCCACUAGCCCUGGUGGAUGAAAAUCUUCCCAUCAUCGUCAUCGCAACACGCGACUCGUGCUUCAGCAAGCAGAAGUCGGUGAUUCAGCAGCUCCUUUCUCGCAAGGGGCGUUUGAUCAUAAUGUGCUCUGAAGGGGACAUCUCCGCCGUCGGUCCUAGUGCAUCCUGCAGGGUAAUUCAGGUUCCAGAGGUCGCUGACUGUCUCCAGCCAGUGAUCAACAUAAUUCCGUUGCAGUUGCUGGCAUACCACCUUACUGUUCUCCGUGGAUUCGAUGUCGACCAGCCAAGGAAUCUGGCCAAGAGCGUGACUACACAGUAA
Molecule: ribosomal RNA, 2049 nt
Filed under: Triticum aestivum (bread wheat)
Lineage: Eukaryota; Viridiplantae; Streptophyta; Magnoliopsida; Poales; Poaceae
Description: partial small subunit ribosomal RNA
Source: RNAcentral